AACUGAAUAAGGAAGACUUUUUUUUCUUGCUUUAUUAAAAUGUAGAUUUAUGUAGUCUAUAUAGUUAAUAGCACAAAGUUAAUUUGGAACUAAAACUCUGUUUAGGUGAACAUGAAGAGUAUGGCAACAAUUCAAGGAAAACAAGUUGAUGAACAUAAAGGUUCACAAAGAAGUUGAGGCAUCUUGAGGUGCCAAUAUGUGAUUGUGUGACAGCAGACAGGAAAAUGACUGCAAAUGAGAAUACGGAGGCGAAGAGGGUUGGAGUAAGAGUUCCAGAUGUUUCGACAGCUUACUAGAAAGAAAUGGACUGACGGAAUGCUUCUUAAUUUUCCAGUUUCAUCAAAGAGGUUUACAGUUAACUCAUCAUCAUCGGUGGCAUAUUAUUGGAUGAAGUACAUACCUGUGGCAGACCACCUGGAACACUGACAAACAAUGUUGAGGUGCACUUGGGAAGCAGUUCUGGAAUGUGUGAUACUGUUUCUUUAAAGGAUCCCAAAUAAUUAGGUGUGCAAGUAAUCAUUUAAGCUUUACAAGCUGGCAAUGCUUUUGCUCUGAGUACUUAAUUUUAUGGUGCACUGAAUAUUUAGGAUUAUAGUAUGAUCUGUGACUAGCGCAAAAGAACAUGGUUGUCCUUUGUGAUCAACAGGCAUUUCACUUCCACGUGGCCAGGCUUUCCCAUC
This 680-nucleotide long non-coding RNA is filed under the name Cairina moschata (Muscovy duck). RNAcentral describes it as "domestica (muscovy Duck (domestic type)) lncRNA (ENSCMMG00000002264.1)". Lineage: Eukaryota; Metazoa; Chordata; Aves; Anseriformes; Anatidae. The record is from RNAcentral.